UCGAGAAUCUUCGGCAAUGGGCGCAAGCCUGACCGAGCGACGCCGCGUGGAGGACGAAGGCCUUCGGGUUGUAAACUCCUGUCGAGGGGGAAGAAGGGGUGUCAAAGCCCUUGACUGAUCCCUGGAGGAAGCACGGGCUAAGUUCGUGCCAGCAGCCGCGGUAAGACGAACCGUGCGAACGUUAUUCGGAAUCACUGGGCUUAAAGCGCGUGUAGGCGGGUCGGCGCGUCGGUCGCUGAAAUCCCCCGGCUCAACCGGGGAAGGGGCGCCGAGACGGCCGGCCUGGAGGGACGUAGGGGGGGCUGGAACUUCCGGUGGAGCGGUGAAAUGCGUUGAGAUCGGAAGGAACGCCCGUGGCGAAAGCGAGCCCCUGGACGUCUACUGACGCUGAGACGCGAAAGCCAGGGGAGCGAACGG
Molecule: ribosomal RNA, 417 nt
Filed under: uncultured bacterium
Lineage: Bacteria
Description: bacterial SSU rRNA
Rfam family: Bacterial small subunit ribosomal RNA
Source: RNAcentral